CUUUUUGCCUUUACUUGAGCUGCUCCUGUGGCAUAUGAAGGUUCCCAGGCUAGGGGCCUACGCCAGAGCCACAGCAACAUGGGAUCCGAGCAGCGUCUGCAACCUACACCACAGCUCAUGGCAAUGCCAGAUCCUUAACCCACUGAGCAAGCCCAGGGAUCGAACCCGCAACCUCAUGGUUCCUAGUAGAAUUUGUUAACCUCUGCACCAUUAUGGGAACUCCUAUACCAUUAUUUUCAUAUAAUUGGACAGUACUUAAAAGCCAGUAAGAUCACUUUAAAAACAUUUAAAUAUGUAUAAAUAGACACAUAUACAUAUAUGUACAUAAUAUAUAUAGAAAUGUGAAGUAGAUAAAUACAUAUCCAUAUAUUAAAGAAUUACCUUGACAGUUUUAAGAUAUUUCUCUAACUUUUGAAAAAUAAACAGCUAGUGAAAAACUAAGUCUCCUUUGCAAAACUUGACUCUGAAAAGAAAGAUUCUUCAAAUGCUUCUCCAAGAACUUGUCUAUUUAUUUUAAAUGAAAUCCAGCUGUGAAGUAAUCAAAUAUUUGAAAUAGAAGGAAAAUGUUCAUGAAAUCAGACAUAUAUACAUACAUAUAUAUGUGAAUAUAUUUACACACAACUGGUUAAAUAUAAUUACUAUAUAAUACAUAUAAAAUAUAGAUCUUCCUUAACUUACUAUGGCAUUACAUCCCGAUAAACCCAUCAUCAAUUGAAAAUAUCAUAAACUGCAAAUGCAUAUACUAUGCCCAAUCCACCAACCAUCAGAGUUUAGCCUAGCCUACUUUACAUGUGCUCAAAACACCCACAUUAGCCUACACUUGGGCAAAAUCAUCUAAGAUAAAGCCCAUUUUAUAAUAAGGUGUUGAAUAGCUCUUGUGUUUUACCGAAUACUGUACCAAAAGUGAAAAACAGAAUGGUCGUAUGGGGACAGAAUAGUGUCCAUGUGUUGUUGUGAUCGAGUGGCUGACUGGGAACAGUGGCUUUUGCUGCUAUUGCCCAGUGUCACAAAACAGCAUCGUGCUGCAUAUCACUAGCCUGGGAAAAAGAUCAAAAUUCUACUAAAUUUGUAUCACCUUUGUACCAUCAUAAAGUUGAAAAAUAAUGUCACACCCCUGUAAGUUGGAGAAUGUCUGUAUAUAAAUUUUUAUAUAAUAUAUGUGUAUACAUGUGUACACAUGUAUAUUUAACACAGGUAUUUUCAUUGUUCGUAACAUCUCAUCUUCGAAUCGGAUUAUGCCCAAAAAUCUAUGCAGCAAGCCUUUGGUGAAUAACUAAUGAAUUCAACAUUUGAACAGGGAAUACUGGUGUGGAAAUUCAGGACAAACCUAUACUCCUAAAAAUGUUUUACAUUUUUUACUUGGAAGAAUAAACUUAGGUACACAUGAUUAGGCUCUGCCAUUUGAAAUAAAUGACUGCAAAUCUGGCUAGAGUUGUUGAUCACCACAAAAUUCUCACUUGUGAGCAACUAUGGCUUACAUAUUAAAAGGAAGGCUUUAGGCAGUUUUUGUACUCGUUUUCUUAAACCAAAGUGGUCCAUAUUGAUGAUUAAAAGUCAUACAGAAAUGUAAAAUUAUGUGUUUUACAAGCCCUUCAAAAACUGUUAUCAUACUAAAGCCUAUGUGUGUCCUGUUUUUUUAAGUGAGUGUUUUUGGGAUCAAACCCAAGCCACAGCAGCAACCUGAGCUACUUCAGUGACGACUCUGGAUCCUUAACCUGCUGCACCACAAGGGAACUCCUCAUUGAGGCUCUAUUUUUGAUUUCAGUUUUAAGGUGUUGCAAGUGAUUGAAUCUAAUCAGUAGCACAGAGUUAAGGAAUGAAAUUCUGAGUGUUAAAAAUUAAUUCUGAGUAUUACAUGUUCUCUAAAUUAUCUGAGAUUCAGUAAUCUAGAAAGAUAUCAUAUACCAAAAAGAUGCUUUUGUAAAUGAUGUACGAUGGAGUCACAGAUUAAUUUUUCUUUUUGGAAAACUUAAUGAUAUUGAUUAACAGUUAAAAAACUUUUUCAGGAGUUCCCUGAUGGCCUAGUGCCUUAAGGAUCUGGCAUUGUCAAAGCUGUGGCUCGGGUUCAGUCCCUGGCCUGGGACCUUCCCAAUGUCACAGGAGUGGCCAAAAAAACCAAAACCCAAAAAAUUUCUUCAAUAGUUAUAUAUUUAAAAAGAAAAGAUUGGGGUACAAGGCAGAUAAUUAUCAGGAUUAUCUUUAAAGGCUUUUGUUAGAGGAAGUGUUAACAAAUCUUUAUAAAUUAAAGUUGCCCUCUCCCAGGAACAUCAACACUGUAUUAUAAAAAAAUUAAACUUGUCCACUGUUGCUUUAAGAAAAGGAACAUUCCCAUUUUCUGUGACAUUUGCUUCUGAAAUCAACACCCUUAUGCAACAACCUUGAUAUUAUUUCUAACAAUGAGUCAGUGAAGGGUAAUUAGACAUAUGGUACAGUUCAGAAAAAUAAGAUGCACAAUUAUUAGCCAAUUGAGAUUUCCCAGGUCAUCCAAUCAA
This 2492-nucleotide long non-coding RNA is filed under the name Sus scrofa (pig). RNAcentral describes it as "lncRNA (ENSSSCG00030046058.1)". The record is from RNAcentral. Lineage: Eukaryota; Metazoa; Chordata; Mammalia; Artiodactyla; Suidae.